Molecule: non-coding RNA, 978 nt
Organism: Schizosaccharomyces pombe (fission yeast)
Lineage: Eukaryota; Fungi; Ascomycota; Schizosaccharomycetes; Schizosaccharomycetales; Schizosaccharomycetaceae
Source: the annotation of a GenBank genome assembly
UUGUCUUUAAACAAAAUCUAAGUAUUAUUGACUAAAAAACAAUCCAAGUACUAUUUAGCAAGCACAAUCCGAACUACCUAUUGAGUUUACACAGUUUAUUCAAUAAGCGCUUAUGCGAUCUAAGCACUUUCGAAUAAGCGCUUGUUGAAUAAGCGGAAUCCAAGCUUCUCUAAUAUAAACCUAAACCAAACACUAUGGGAUAAACGCAACGCUACUACAAAUUUUUUUUUUUAGCAUGUCUAAUACGGAUACCAUCAAUGUAUGACUCAAUUUCAAGCAUCACCGUCGCCAACACUGUUUAACCAAAUACCUUGUAUACUAGCACCGCUGGUUUCGUUAUGAUGCGCAACUAACAAGAAAGAUGUACAAGGAUGCCUUGUAAAUGGGUAUUUGGGAGACACAGGAUCCGGCAACUUGUGCGAUUUGAUGAGUUUCCCUUGAUGUACAUCAGUCAUUAUCCUAUGUCUUUUCCCCAUUUUUCGCCAUCCUAAAAAAAGCUUAAUUCAUUAUUUGGUCAGCAAUCGCAGAAAAGACGCUCCAACACACUCGUGCGUAUGGCUGUUCUCCAUAUUGGGCCAACCUUGUUUCGCUGACUUCUCAUGGUGCACUAUGUAUGCCUAAGUAAUUCACAACCAUUCACAAUACGAAGUGUAAGCACAGAUCGGGUUUAGGAAAGGGUAAUUGUAAUCACAUGAGUGCAUAUCCACACAAAUGUCAGAGGAACCUCUCGUUACUCCUUUUCCUCCUCAUUCUUUGCCUGCAAGGAGAGACCACCUUUUGCUCAUUCCCAUCAUAACCCUUUCGUAAAUGUACUAGUUGGAGGUUCCUCCACCUUUUUUAUCGACCAACACUCUCUGCCCAUUCGGCCAUCCGAUAUCUACUCGACCGUCGCUUCCAAUCUAUCUAUCCUCAUGUACUGCACUUGGCGAUCCAGUGGUAUGGAAUUUCGGAGCUUGAUUGAACUUAUGGCAAUCAUCA